Molecule: unclassified non-coding RNA, 391 nt
Filed under: soil metagenome
Description: partial contains 5.8S ribosomal RNA, internal transcribed spacer 2, and large subunit ribosomal RNA
Rfam family: 5.8S ribosomal RNA (bases 1-122)
Source: RNAcentral
GAUGAAGAACGUAGCGAAAUGCGAUACUUGGUGUGAAUUGCAGAAUCCCGUGAACCAUCGAGUCUUUGAACGCAAGUUGCGCCCGAAGCCACUAGGCCGAGGGCACGCCUGCCUGGGCGUCACACGCCGUUGCCCCCCCAUCUACUCCUUCGGGAUUGCGGGGGGGCGGAUGAUGGCCUCCCGUGCGCCUAGCCGCGCGGUUGGCAUAAAUACCAAGUCCUCGGCGACGCACGCCACGACAAUCGGUGGUUGCGAACCCUCGGUUGCCCGUCGUGUGCGUUCGUCGCGCAUCGAGGGCUCGAAAAAAUGCUCGGCUCCGGCUGGGCUUUCAACGCGACCCCAGGUCAGGCGGGGUUACCCGCUGAAUUUAAGCAUAUCAAUAAGCGGAGGA